AUUGAACGCUGGCGGCAGGCCUAACACAUGCAAGUCGAACGGUAACAGGAAGCAGCUUGCUGCUUCGCUGACGAGUGGCGGACGGGUGAGUAAUGUCUGGGAAACUGCCUGAUGGAGGGGGCUAACUACUGGAAACGGUAGCUAAUACCGCAUAACGUCGCAAGACUAAAGAGGGGGACCUUAGGGCCUCUUGCCAUCUGAUGUGCCCAGAUGGGAUUAGCUAGUAGGUGGGGUAACGGCUCACCUAGGCGACGAUCCCUAGCUGGUCUGAGAGGAUGACCAGCCACACUGGAACUGAGACACGGUCCAGACUCCAACGGGAGGCAGCAGUGGGGAAUAUUACACGAUGGGAGCAAGCCUGAUGCAGCCAUGCCGGGUGUAUGAAGAAGACCCUCGGGUUGUAAAGUACGUUCAGCGGGGAGGAAAGGAGUAAAGUUAAUACCUUUACGCAUAGAAGUUACCCGCAGAAGAAGGUCCGGCAAACUCCGUG
Molecule: ribosomal RNA, 490 nt
Filed under: uncultured bacterium
Lineage: Bacteria
Description: partial 16S ribosomal RNA
Rfam family: Bacterial small subunit ribosomal RNA
Source: RNAcentral